This is a long non-coding RNA of Piliocolobus tephrosceles (Ugandan red Colobus), 2248 nucleotides long. RefSeq lists it as uncharacterized. NCBI's taxonomy places the organism in Eukaryota, Metazoa, Chordata, Mammalia, Primates, Cercopithecidae. The record is from RefSeq and is a predicted model, not a curated record. The transcript has 3 exons.
CAUGCCUGUCAUCCCAGCACUGUGGGAGGCCAAUUCUUGUCUAUCCAGGAGACGGGUUUCACCAUGUUGCCCAGGUUAGUCUCAAACUCCUCGGCUUAACUGAUCCGGCUUAACUGAUCCGCUUGCUUAGGCUUUCCAAAGUGCUAGGAUUACAGGAGUGAGCCACCACACAUGGCCAGUCCUGGAAUUUUCUAGAGAAGGAUGACCAACGCAGCCUGUGGACCCUUCCUGGCCAGCUGUGGACCCUUCCUGGCCAUCACAUGAAGACCAGCGACCCCUCCUUCCAAAACUCACAGCUUCUCAGGAUGACUUGGGGAAACGUCCCCCGCUGUGAACCUCGGUGAGCCUGCCUGUAACAUACAGGUGAGGGAGAAGGCCAGAAAAGCUCAGUCAGAGUGACACUGACCCAGAAAUGAUGGGCAAAAUGGAGUGUGUGGCUUUUCCUGUAGGAGAGGGUGAUGCUUAGUUGUAAUUUGAAUUUUAAAUGGAUUCCAGUCCUCCGAAAAACAGGUGAUUAGACUCAAAUCACCUUGAACCUUUUCAUCUCAUGGCUUUAACCCACCUACAUGGCUCCGUGUUCCCUGUAGUCCUCUCCCCUGAGCUCUACAGUCCUGUGUCCAGUUCUCUCCUCUCUCUGCUAGGACAUCAAACAGGCAUCUCCACCUUCACAUGUCCAUAAGUGACUUCCUAAACCCCCAAAAAUUCCCUUGCAGUCCUACAAAUCUCAGAUGAGGGCGACAAUGUACCUCUAGGGGCUUAGCUGAGGUUGACAUCAUGUAUUUUAAAUAUGGGAAAUACAUUAUUUGUAAGUGUUGUAAUUUAUAAGGUAAAGAGAAAAUUACAUGUAUACAUGAAAGGAGUGAGAAAAUACAUCAUUUCCAAAUUUCUUUUGAGGUGUGGGGGAAAAAUGUUUCAAGACCUCAUCCUUAGGGAUCUGUGCUCCCAGGACCCCUCUGACCUCAUCUCCUGCCUGUGUCCUCCUCACUCCCUCUGCUCCAGCCAUGCAGGCCUCCAGCCAUACAGCUCAAGCCAUAUAGGCCUCUUUCCUUUUUCUGGGGCUGAGGUUGCUCCUGUCUCAGGGCCUUCUGGGCUGUCCCUCUGCCUAGGACUCUCUGGCCCCGCAGCUGCAAGUGACAAGCAGCGUUUCUUCCCUAAGUCUUUGUUCUGACAUCACUUUCUCUAUGGAAACCUUUGUGAUCGCCCACAGUCCCGCAUUUGACAUGGCAGCUCCACCUUCACCCCCACCUCUGGUCCGUGUUGCCUGUUCUGUGUGAUUCUUUUUGCUCCUUUGCUGUUCACUGGAUCCUGUUGAGAACAAGUCCCCAAGCAGAGAGCAGAGCCAGAAGGUGGGGCUGUGCUGGGCUGGCGCCCUCUGAGUGGAGCUCAACCCUGACUUCACAUUAGGGUGCUCAGACAUUUUGCAAAUACAUCUUUUAUGCUGUUUUAUCAAAGAUUGCUAUUAUCACAGGAUGGGACCCACCCUCAAUAAUACUUAUAACAGCGCUGGUGAUUCUCAUCUGUGUCCAGCAUUGAACGUCAAGGCAGUUUCCUCCAUGUUGAGAGCUGAGAUCAGCCUGUGAUCCACAGGGAGGAUUGGUUUCCAAAGACUCUUGCUAUGUAAUGAAGCCACCAGAGAGGGCAAAGAAAAGGAGCCAGGGAUGGCUCUUCCUCAGGGACACUUGACUUUUAGGGUUGUGGCUAUAAAAUUCUCUGCUGGAGUGGAAAUGCCCGAACACUAUGCAAAUGGCUUUAUACAGGGAAGUGAUGUUGGAGAACUACAGGAACCUGGAGUCUGUGGGUGAGGAAAACGUCUCUGCAGACAUGAGAAGUCUGCUCUUGUCUAUCUUGGCUCUUCCUGGCUUUAUAUUCUCUUUUGUGAUGUUGCCCCAUACAUGCUUUUGAUGUACGUGUCAUUGUUUUCUGUAGUGAUGACCCUCCCCUCUGUCAAGGAUAGCUUCUUAGAGACUCUUCUAUGGAGUGGGUUUUUCAUAAAACCAGAAAAUUCAUGAAAAACACUUUGACUAAUAAGAUUGAACAUCAUCCUGCUCUAGGCAGAGAUGUCCCUAGAAGCCCUGAGUGGAAAUGUCAGUGUGGCCCAGGAUACAAGAUAGAAAGCAUGACACUGACUGACAAGUGUUUCCAGCUGUGGUUCUGGUUUCAUGUUUUUGUUUUUUGUUUUUGUUUUGUUGUUUAGUUUUGUUUUUUUGAGACAGAGUCUGUUGAACAGGCUGGAGUGCAGUGUCAUGAU